GACGAACGCUGGCGGCGUGCCUAAUACAUGCAAGUAGAACGCUGAAGGAGGAGCUUGCUCUUCUGGAUGAGUUGCGAACGGGUGAGUAACGCGUAGGUAACCUGCCUGGUAGCGGGGGAUAACUAUUGGAAACGAUAGCUAAUACCGCAUAACAGUAGAUGUUGCAUGACAUUUGCUUAAAAGGUGCAAUUGCAUCACUACCAGAUGGACCUGCGUUGUAUUAGCUAGUUGGUGGGGUAACGGCUCACCAAGGCGACGAUACAUAGCCGACCUGAGAGGGUGAUCGUCCACACUGGGACUGAGACACGGCCCAGACUCCUACGGGAGGCAGCAGUAGGGAAUCUUCGGCAAUGGACGGAAGUCUGACCGAGCAACGCCGCGUGAGUGAAGAAGGUUUUCGGAUCGUAAAGCUCUGUUGUAAGAGAAGAACGAGUGUGAGAGUGGAAAGUUCACACUGUGACGGUAGCUUACCAGAAAGGGACGGCUAACUACGUG
RNAcentral lists this ribosomal RNA (495 nucleotides) under uncultured bacterium. RNAcentral describes it as "partial 16S ribosomal RNA". It matches the Rfam family "Bacterial small subunit ribosomal RNA", at positions 28 to 507 of the family's 1533-position model. The record is from RNAcentral.